GACGAACGCUGGCGGUGUGCUUAACACAUGCAAGUCGAACGGAAAUGCCGUGCUUCUGUGGGGUGGUCGAAUGGCGAACGAGUGAGUAACACGUGGGUAACCUGCCCUUGACUGUAGGGUAAAUUACGGAAACUCGGACUAAUGCCUGAUACGAGGUCCUGCGGCGUGGAGGUGGUUGGAAAGUUUCGGCGGUUGGGGAAGGACUCGCGGCUUAUCAGCUUGUUGGUGGGGUAGGGGCUUACCAAGGCUUUGAAGGGUAGCCGGCUUGAGAGGGUGACCGGCCACAGUGGGACUGAGAUACGGCCCAGACUCCUACCGGAGGCAGCAGUGGGGAAUAUUGCACAAUGGGCGGAAGCCUGAUGCAGCAACGCCGCGUGCGGGAUGACGGCCUUCGGGUUGUAAACCGCUUUCUCCUGUGACGAAGCGUGAGUGACGGGAAUGGGUAAAGAAGCACCGGCUAACUACGUG
This 468-nucleotide ribosomal RNA is filed under the name uncultured bacterium. RNAcentral's name for it is "partial 16S ribosomal RNA". It matches the Rfam family "Bacterial small subunit ribosomal RNA", at positions 28 to 507 of the family's 1533-position model. The record is from RNAcentral.